CUCAUGGAGAGUUCGAUCCUAGGUCAGGAUGAAUGUUAGCGGCAUGAUUAACACAUGCAAUUCGUAUGGGAAACACGGAGAACUGUGUGUCCAGUGGCACACGGUUGAGUAACGCGUAAAAACCUACCCUUGGGAGGGGAACAAUAGCUUGAAACGACUACUAAUACCACGUAGGCUAAGGAACAAAAGGAGGAAUACACUCGAGGAAGGGCACGCGUCUGAUUAUUCAGUUGGUGAGGCAAUAUCUUACCGAGGCAAUGAUCAGUAGCUGGUUCGAGAGGAUGAUCAACCACACUAGGACUGAGACAUGGCCCAGACUUCUACGGGAGGCAGCAGUGGGGAAUUUUCCGCAAUGGGCGAAAUCCUAACGGAGCAAUGCCACGUGAAGGUAGAAGGCCCACAGGUCGUGAACUUCUUUUCCCAAAAAAAAAAAGCAAUAAUGGUGUUUGGGGAAUAAGUAUCGGCUAACUCUGUGCCAACAGCCGUGGUAAUACUGAGAAUUCAAGCGUUAUUCGGAAUGAUUGGGUGUAAAGCGUCUGUAGGUGGCUUUUUAAGUCCACCAUCAAAUCCCAUGGCUCAACCCUGGACAGGUGGUACAAACUACCAAGCUGGAGUAUUGUAGGGGCGGAGGGAAUUUCUAGUGGAGCGGUGAAAUGCAUAGAGAUCGGAAAGAACACCAACGGUGAAAGCACUCUACUAGGCUGACACUGACAUUUAGAGACGAAAGAUAGGAGAGCGAAUGGGAUUAGAUACCCAAGUAGUCCUAGCCGUAAACGAUGGAUACUAGGAACUGUGUGUAUCGACCCAUGCGAUGUUGUAGCUAACACGUUAAGUAUCCUACCUGGGGAGUACGUUUGCAAGAAUGAAACUCAAAGGAAUUGACGGGGGACCUCACAAACGAUGGAUCAUGUCGUUUGAUUCGAUGCAAAGCAAAGCACCUUACCAACGCUUGACAUGCCACGAAUCCUCUUAAAAGAGAGGUGCGCAUUCGGGAACGCGGACACAAGUGGUGCAUUAUUGUCAUCAACUCGUGCUAUAAGGUGUUGGGUUAAGUCCCGCAACGAGCGCAACCCUCGUGUUUAGUUUUCAUCGUUAAGUUUGGAACCCUGAACAGACUGCCAGUGAUAAGCCGGAGGAAGGUGAGGAUGACGUCAAGGCAUCAUGCCCUUUAUGCCCAGGGCGACACACGUGCUACAAUGACUGAGACAAAAGGUCGCGAUCCCGCGAGGGUGAGCUAACCCCAAAAAACCGUUCUUAGUUCGGAUUGCAAGCUGCAACUGGCCUGCAUGAAGUCGGAAUCGCUAGUAAUCGCCGGUCAGCCAUACAACGGUGAAUUCGUUCCCGGGACUUGUACACACCACCCAUCACUCUAUGGAGCUGCCCAUGCCUGAGGUCAUUACCUUAACUUCAAGGAGGGGAAUACCGAAGGCAGGGAUAGUGAUUGGAGUGAAGUCGUAACAAGGUACUAGAUGGUAUUCCUGGAUCACUCCUUUU
Solanum lycopersicum (tomato) is the source of this 1494-nucleotide non-coding RNA. The record is from Rfam. Lineage: Eukaryota; Viridiplantae; Streptophyta; Magnoliopsida; Solanales; Solanaceae.